Molecule: transfer RNA, 75 nt
Filed under: Candidatus Cloacimonadota bacterium
Lineage: Bacteria; Pseudomonadati; Candidatus Cloacimonadota
Description: tRNA-Gln
Rfam family: tRNA
About the family: Transfer RNA (tRNA) molecules are approximately 80 nucleotides in length. Their secondary structure includes four short double-helical elements and three loops (D, anti-codon, and T loops). Further hydrogen bonds mediate the characteristic L-shaped molecular structure. tRNAs have two regions of fundamental functional importance: the anti-codon, which is responsible for specific mRNA codon recognition, and the 3' end, to which the tRNAs corresponding amino acid is attached (by aminoacyl-tRNA synthetases). tRNAs cope with the degeneracy of the genetic code in two manners: having more than one tRNA (with a specific anti-codon) for a particular amino acid; and 'wobble' base-pairing, i.e. permitting non-standard base-pairing at the 3rd anti-codon position.
Source: RNAcentral
UGGGAGGUAGUGUAAUGGUAACACACUGCGCUCUGAACGCAGAGACUCUAGGUUCGAGCCCUAGUCUCCCAGCCA